This 1798-nucleotide long non-coding RNA is filed under the name Phasianus colchicus (ring-necked pheasant). Its description in RNAcentral is "lncRNA (ENSPCLG00000010425.1)". The record is from RNAcentral. Lineage: Eukaryota; Metazoa; Chordata; Aves; Galliformes; Phasianidae.
CCCCCCGCACGGUGCCGCUCGGCCCCCACGGCGUCCGCCUCUGCGCGACCCCCCGGCAGCCGCAGGCAUGGAGCCCCCCGGGGAUGCAGGUGAGAGGGGGGGCGGAAAAACCAACGGAAAAGCCGCGGGAUGGGGGCCCCGCUGUAUGCAGGUCCCUACAGAGCGCUAUGGGGUCCCGUCGUGGCCCCGUUGCAUGAAUGUCCCCAUAGAGCACAACGGGGUCCCAUCCCAUCGUGGCCCUAUUGUAUUUUGGGGUCUCAUUGUGUCCCCAUUGCAUGAAGCUCCCUAUGGGGUCCUGUUCAUCGUGGCCCUAUUGCACUUUGGGGUCCCAUCGUGGCCCCGUUGCAUGAAUGUCUCCAUAGUGCACAAUGGGGUCCCAUCCCAUUGCGUCCCCAUUGCAUGAAGCUCCCUGUAGUUCACAAUGGGGUCCCAUCUCAUCGUGGCCCUAUUGUUUGGGGUCCCAUGUUGUCCCCAUUGCAUGAAGCUCCCUAUGGGGUCCUGUUCAUCAUGGCCCUAUUGCACUUUGGGGUCCCAUCAUGGCCCCAUUGCAUGAAGGUCCCUAUAGAGCACUGUGGGGUCCCAUUCAUCAUGUCCUCAUUGCAUUUUGGGGUCUCAUGGUGUCCCCAUUGCAUGAAUGUCCCCAUAAUGCACCAUGGGGUCCCAUCCCAUCGUGGCCCCAUUGCAAUUUGGGGUCCCAUCAUGUCCCCAUUGCAUGAACAUCCCCAUAGUGCACAAUGGGGUCCCAUGCCAUCAUGGUCCUAUUGCACUUUGGGGUCUCAUCGUGGCCCCAUUGCAUGAAGCUCCCUAUAGAGCACUGUGGGGUCCCGUUCAUUGUGGCCCCAUUGCAAUUUGGGGUCCCAUGUUGUUCCCAUUGCAUGAAUGUCCCCAUAAUGCACAAUAGGGUCCCAUCCCAUCGUGGCCCCAUUGCACUUUGGGGUCCCAUUGUGUCCCCGUUGCAUGAACGUCCCCAUAAUGCACAAUGGGGUCCCAUUCAUUGUGGCCCUAUUGCACUUUAGGGUCUUAUCAUGUCCCCAUUGCACGAACAUCCCCACAGCGCACUAUGGGGUCCCAUCCCAUCGUGGCCCCAUUGCACUUUGGGGUCCCAUCGUGCCCCCAUUGCAUGAAGCACCCUAUAGCACAAUGGGGUCCCAUCCCAUCGUGGCCCCAUUGCACUUUGGGGUCCUGCCAUGUCCCCAUUGCACGAACGUCCCUAUAGUUCACAAUGGGUUCCCAUAUAUCAUGGCCCUAUUGCACUAUGGGGUUCCAUUAUGUCCCCAUGUCCCCGUUGCGCUUUGGGGUCCCACGUGUCCCUGUUUUAUGAGGUCCCCAUAGUGCACAAUUGGGUCCCAUCCUAUUAUGGCCCCAUUGCACUUUGGGGUCCCAUCGUGCCCCCAUUGCAUGAAGCUCCCUAUAGCACAAUGGGGUCCCAUCCCAUCGUGGCCCCGUUGCACUUUGGGGUCCCAUAGCAUCCCCAUUACAUAGUGGGGUCUCAUCAUUGCACAAAGGUCCCUAUAGUGCACUAUAGGGUCCCAUCCCCUCAUGCCCCCGUUGCUCUAUGGGGUCUCACUGUGACCCCGUGCCCCCAUUGUGCUAUGGGGUCUCUCUGUGUCCCUAUUGCAUAGACAUCCCUGUAGUGCAUUAUGGGGUCCCAUUGUGAACCCAUUACAUGUCUGGUCCUAUUGUGUCCUCAUUGCAUGAAGGUCCCUAUGGGGCACUAUGGGAUCCCAUCAUAUCCCCAUGACCCCACUAUGGGGUUCCCUCGUGUCCCCGUUGUGUGAAGGUCCCUAUAGUGCACUGC